Molecule: long non-coding RNA, 3635 nt
Organism: Triticum aestivum (bread wheat)
Lineage: Eukaryota; Viridiplantae; Streptophyta; Magnoliopsida; Poales; Poaceae
Exons: 4
Source: RefSeq, a predicted model, not a curated record
AGGCACAGACGCCCAGCUUCCUCAGCCACGACCUAGGCACCGCAGUUCGCACUCACACGCACGCACGCGAGUCAGAGCGGAGCGACCGCGACAGCCGCCUCCCCUCAUGUUCGCCGCGCCACCGCCUGGCCGCCGGCGACUUCCCCCACGCCCCGUCCAGUCCCAGGGACUGCCUCGCUCCUUCCCGCUUGUCUCCCUGACAUAGCCCGGGGCCGUCGCUCUUCCUCAAUCCCCUGCUCGGCUGCUCCCCGCUGCUCAAGACUGUGGAUUGCCUGUCUGCCACUGUUGCUCUAGCCAGGCGACGCCGCCGCUCUAAUCCGGCCAUUGCCUGAAUCCGGAUUCCCCGUCUCCGCGCCGCCACUCUACUCUGGCCACUCCCCGACUCCGGACUACAAUUUAAUUGAUAAAAUAGAAGAUAAGAUAUUUCUCAAGCCUAUAGGGAUCGCAGAGGGCUUCUACCUCCUCAUAGAGGUGUUGCUUCUUCUUCUGCCGCAGAUGAUGUUAUGGGAGGCACGAAUGAAAUAAACAACUGAUUUGGUACUCUUAUAUCCCUGUAUUAUUUCUGGUUUUAUCAUGUUUUAUCUCUUCUAUUGGAUUGUUAAGCACCAAGAUUAAAUUUUAGGAUUAUUGAACAACUGAAUUUAUUUGGUUUGUUAUUGCAUAUUAUCUUUUUUAAAUGUCAUGAUGUGUUUUUGGGUAGUUAUAGGUGCCAAAGUUUUCCCUUGUUGCCGAAAAAAUGAAAAAAUAUACUUUUCGUCCCUCAAUUUUUGACGGAGUCAUUUGGUCCCUCAACUAUGAAACCGGACAAUCUGCACUCCAAAUUCUUGAAACCGGACACAUUUGGUCCCCCGACUCAACUGAAGCGGUAUCCAUGCCAACUCAGCAUUGUUUUGACCGGGUCAUGUGUAGGUGGCAAUAUUUCUAUUUCUCUUCAUCCAUCUCCUAUCUAGACAUCGUCAAACAAUUGACGUGCACUUGCUGCACCACGGCACAACCGUCUACGAGCCAGCGCUGCCACCAUUGGUGGCCCAGCUAACGACCACGCACCGCCGGCUGCCCUGCUGGCCACUAAACAUGCCGCUCCAAGCCGUCAUGCAUGUGACUCCGCGCCUCUGGCUGCACCCACUGCCGCUGGACACCUCCGCGCCUCCUCGAGCACCUGCCGUCGUCCUGCGCGACCUGCUUUCGUCCGUAACAUCUCCUUGAGGCGUGCCUGCAGCCACCGCCGGCUGUCAUGGUCACCACCGACGGGCAUGCCCUGUGCUCCUCUAUAACCAUCCGUGCUGGCCACUCCUCCGGACGCCUGAAGACUACAGGGGGGACAUGGCCGCGACCUGCACCACACGGCACGGCAAGCAUCCACCACGUCUUCUCCUCGUCCCUGAGUUUUCGCAUGAAGGCACGCGGGGAAGUGACGCGGCGCGGCCGGUGCGUGGGGUCCCAGGCGCUGAGCAACAGGAAAUACGAUGGGAGGGAUAGGUUCGGGUUGCGCUCGACGGCGAGGUACGUGCCGAGUGUGAGCUUGUGGGCGAGCGGGGAGGUCAGCGCCACCGCCUCUUCACCACGCUGCUGGAUCCAAGUGUUGGACCGCGCGUGAAGGCCGGCGACGACGGCGAGUACCACCACGGCCGCGAGGUGCCCCAGUCCGGCCAUAACGGCGACGUGCUCCAUCUAGGCAACGAGCAGGUCGAGCCGCGGCAAUCCGCUCUCCUGGCGCCGCGCUCAUGCUGUCGAGACGACCACCAGCAGCAGCUUGCUCCUUGCCCGCAGACGCCAUGUAUAGAGAGAGAGAGAGGAACCGGGAAGUCAAUUCGGGGGUUUCUUUGCCACGUCAGCAUGGAUCGGUCAAAACCGGGAUGAGCCAGCAUCAAGACCGGCCAAAACCGGGAGGAGGAUGAAACUUGUCCGGUUUUAAGAGUUGGAGGUGCAUGUUGUCUGGUUUCAUAGUUGAGGGACCGAAUCUAGACUCCGUCAAAAAUUAAGGGACGAAAAAUAUAUUUUUUUCAAAAAAAAUUGGGCCCGGGUUUCGCUUCAAUCCUGGCUCCACCACUGGCUGGAUGCGUCAUAUGUUAUCAAAUUGCACAAUGGAUCAUGUAGAGCUUAAGAUGUACUCCCUCCGUCCGAAAAAACUUGUCAUCAAAAUGGACAAAAAGGGGUGUAUGCAGAACUAAAAUACAUCUAGAUACAUCCCCUUUUAUUCAUUUUGAUGACAUUUCCGGACGGAGGGAGUACAGCAUAUGUUUGUAUUAAUUUCAGUUUGAUACAAAUCAAAAAAAAAGUUGGAUAAGUAAAAAUAACUCUGGUGUGAAACGAUAAAGCAAACAGCUAAGAAACAAAACUGGCCAAACAGCUUGGUCAUAUAGCUGUGAAAUUGCAAGCAGCUGAGCCGAGAUCGAUGAACGUCAAUGUCAUCUUCAUCUCAAGAUAUCAGGUACGUGCAACUCAUGGUUUCUUUAGUUUUUGUAUAUCUUGCGGUGAGCUAGAAGAAAACAACAAAAUACAUCAGAACUGUUAGAGAAGAGAAGAAGAUUCUUGGUGGUUGCUGUUAUGAAGGCAUGAAUGGUGUUGUCACCUUUUCCAUUCUCUUCUACAAAAGUUCACGGAUCAUAGAGCAGAGCAUGUAGUACUAUAAUACUUUUCAUAUGGUAUUCUCAACAAUAAAAAAAAUGAUACUAUGUGAGAAAGUAAGUGUAUGAGUAUGAUAAAUCAAACUGGGAUGAAACUUCAGUUAAUUGCUUAAAGAUCGCUGAACUUCUCUAGAGGAGCUAGCGAGCACAAGCCUGAAUUUUUAAUGUUUUCUAUUGUUCACGUCAUUUGGUUGAUGGAAAUCAAAAGGUAGAGGUUAAAGAAAUACUGCGAGUCACAGGGAAGGAAAUUAGAAGAAAGAGAAACAGGAGAUGCAUUUUGUUUCAGGUAAAUAAGUUCUCGAUACAUCCAACCCACUAAAACUACAAGGGCACAAAGACAUACAGCAAAGACAUCUGUGACAGCUUAACAAAAAGGGAGUCUGGAACCAACCACCAGCAGUUGCUUAAAAAAACCCACCAACAAAGAAGUCCUUAAUCUUCAUUUUACAACGCAAGGUAGGUUAAUUAGCUUGUGCAGUACAGUAGUAGAUAUGUACAAUCAUCAGGUGAUUGGCCAUCCUUGUUUUUCAGGUGGAUUUGAGCCUGUCCAGCUGGUGUUUGACCUGUAGAUUAACCAUGAACGAGGCUGUACAAUGGAGACCAAGAUCAUGACAUCUCCUCCAAAAUCCUCAGGAUCCUGGCAGUUCCCCAUCAGCAGCUGAAUAAAGAUCUCUCUUUCCGGAAUGAGACCCAAUGCUACCUGACAAUUUGCAACUAUGCUCAACAGAUUAGGUCAGUGGAAACAACUCAAACCAACUGAUGACUGCAACUCGGCAAAUUAAUCUACGCACACGAUCGAUGAACUAGAUUUGCCGCGUGAACAAUCUUCAGAUAAUUGCGAGUAGCUUGUAUAGCAAUGUAAAAUAAUACUUCAAAUUCUGAAGAAGUCAUGAUCAUGAAAGCAGUAUGUCAACUGAUCAUACCCUGUAAGCAGCUGAUGAGAUCCAUCCAUGGAAUGGCUUCAGGGUGCUGUUGUAUGCUUCUUCCACCAUCUUUUUCAGGCUUGAA